GCCCUCGUAGCUCAGUGGAUAGAGCAUUGGUUUCCGGUACCAAAGGUCGCAGGUUCGAAUCCUGUCGAGGGCA
Molecule: transfer RNA, 73 nt
Filed under: Corynebacterium sp.
Lineage: Bacteria; Bacillati; Actinomycetota; Actinomycetes; Mycobacteriales; Corynebacteriaceae
Also listed under: 2 other names
Description: tRNA-Arg
Rfam family: tRNA
About the family: Transfer RNA (tRNA) molecules are approximately 80 nucleotides in length. Their secondary structure includes four short double-helical elements and three loops (D, anti-codon, and T loops). Further hydrogen bonds mediate the characteristic L-shaped molecular structure. tRNAs have two regions of fundamental functional importance: the anti-codon, which is responsible for specific mRNA codon recognition, and the 3' end, to which the tRNAs corresponding amino acid is attached (by aminoacyl-tRNA synthetases). tRNAs cope with the degeneracy of the genetic code in two manners: having more than one tRNA (with a specific anti-codon) for a particular amino acid; and 'wobble' base-pairing, i.e. permitting non-standard base-pairing at the 3rd anti-codon position.
Source: RNAcentral